CUCCUCAAGAAUUGUGUAGAGUGCCACAAAACAAAUCUACCAAACACGUUAGACUAACCUAUAAACACAAAAUCUUUGAAAAACUCUAUGUAUAUAUAAUUACAUGUCAACUAUACUCGGAGUCUAUCGAAUUUUGUUAUAAGAUCAUUUCACAAUUAAAACAUGUAAUUUCAACAUAAUCAUACACCAAAACAUACCAACGAAUCAACAACGUCAUUCUCAAAUCGUAUCUCAAUAAAGCAUCUCAAGAAUCAACAUUCACAUAAUUGUCUUAGAUUCAACUUGAAAUUCAUAUGUAGCAUAUUGCUCACCAAUUAGACAUUUAAAACUAAUACCAUAAAAAUAGUCCCUAGCAAUUUAGACAAAAACAUAAAGUAAAUUAAAAUUAGAAUGCAUAAACAGAAACCAGCUACUCUUCCAACACUUUCUCCUUCCCUUUCACCAUCAAACUUUCACCAAAUUCUUUAGCUUCAAAUUCAUCACCAAAUAAAAAUAAAAAUUUAGAUUAACAAACACACCAUAAUAAUAAAACCCUAAAUUUAUUGAAAUGAUACAAUUCAAGGAAGCAAGACAUUAAUUUCACUUUUUAGACCACUUAAGAAAACUCUCCCAAACUUAGCUCUAACUUCUCCUAAUCUGAAAUCUAAUGGUAUAAUUAGUAUUUAUAGCUUAAAAACAUUCUAAACCUUACCUAAAACCAUCAAAACCAAGCAAAAUCCCUAACUUACCUUCUCACUUAAGAACUCAUCCAUAACGCAGGAACUUAGUCAAAUCCUCACCAAAGCUAAAAUUUCCCAUUCUAAUGAUUAUUUAAACAUGUAAAAACCAAGGAUAUAACAAGAAACCACUAGCAAAGACACAAAAUCAAACUCUCUCUAGGAUGCAUUUAACGUGAAAAUGGAGAAUAAGAAGAUGUUCCAAACUUUCAAAAUUUUGUUUUGUAGUAAUUUAAAAGGAUUUGUAAUCUUGAAAAACAUUAGAUCUCUUUUUAAAUUUUUAAUAUAAUCAUCAAAAAUCAAAAUCUCCUCCAAACUUGGAGAUUAAUAUGGAACAUAGUAAAGAGAAGGAAAAUGUUAAAAUCGAGCCUAGAAAAUUGAAAAGAUGAAGAAAAUAAUUUGAAACUCAUGAUUACCUUGCUGAAAUUGUUUGAUUGAAAUCAAGAAUUGAAGACUGAAGGAAAGAAAAAUGGAAAGAAUGUUGAGAGAAUUUUAAUCGGUUUGUUUGGAAUGGAGAAUUAAGUAAUCGUUCUCUCCAUUCGCUUUUACUAAAUGGUCUAUUUACU
RNAcentral lists this long non-coding RNA (1282 nucleotides) under Gossypium barbadense (sea-island cotton). Its description in RNAcentral is "long non-coding RNA (GBAR_LNC001620)". Lineage: Eukaryota; Viridiplantae; Streptophyta; Magnoliopsida; Malvales; Malvaceae. The record is from RNAcentral.